CGUUAAAUUUUUUAUCCAUUUUUACUGUUAAAAAUUGGUGUAGCUAAUGGAAUAAUAAGACAACGGCAUGUGACACACCACAUGUAUAGUGUACCUCAUGUUGACAUACAAUAACAAUUUUUUAAUAGUAUAAAUGGAUGAAAUUUUUAGGA
Gossypium arboreum is the source of this 152-nucleotide non-coding RNA. Lineage: Eukaryota; Viridiplantae; Streptophyta; Magnoliopsida; Malvales; Malvaceae. The record is from Rfam.